RNAcentral lists this ribosomal RNA (263 nucleotides) under uncultured bacterium. RNAcentral describes it as "partial 16S ribosomal RNA". It matches the Rfam family "Bacterial small subunit ribosomal RNA", at positions 793 to 1055 of the family's 1533-position model. The record is from RNAcentral.
GUCCACGCCCUAAACGAUGUCUACUAGUUGUUGGUGGAGUAAAUCCAUGAGUAACGCAGCUAACGCGUGAAGUAGACAGCCUGGGAGUACGGUCGCAAGAUUAAAACUCAAAUGAAUUGACGGGGCCCGCACAAGCGGUGGAUUAUGUGGAUUAAUUCGAUGCAACGCGAAAAACCUUACCUGGCCUUGACAUGUAACGAACUUUCCAGAGAUGGAUUGGUGCUCGAAAGAGAGCGUUAACACAGGUGCUGCAUGGCUGUCGU